GCCGCGGUAGCUCAGCUCGGUAGAGCAGCGGACCUCGCAGAAGGGGGCUGAAGCUGUUAACCCGUUGGUCGUCGGUUCGAAUCCGACCCGCGGCGCCA
RNAcentral lists this transfer RNA (98 nucleotides) under Nitrososphaeria archaeon. RNAcentral's name for it is "tRNA-OTHER". It matches the Rfam family "tRNA". From Rfam's summary of the family: Transfer RNA (tRNA) molecules are approximately 80 nucleotides in length. Their secondary structure includes four short double-helical elements and three loops (D, anti-codon, and T loops). The record is from RNAcentral. Lineage: Archaea; Thermoproteati; Nitrososphaerota; Nitrososphaeria.